RNAcentral lists this ribosomal RNA (407 nucleotides) under uncultured bacterium. RNAcentral's name for it is "partial 16S ribosomal RNA". It matches the Rfam family "Bacterial small subunit ribosomal RNA", at positions 355 to 774 of the family's 1533-position model. The record is from RNAcentral.
UGGGGAAUAUUGCACAAUGGGCGAAAGCCUGAUGCAGCAACGCCGCGUGAGGGAUGACGGCCUUCGGGUUGUAAACCUCUUUUAGUAGGGAAGAAGCGAAAGUGACGGUACCUGCAGAAAAAGCACCGGCUAACUACGUGCCAGCAGCCGCGGUAAUACGUAGGGUGCAAGCGUUGUCCGGAAUUAUUGGGCGUAAAGAGCUCGUAGGCGGUUUGUCGCGUCUGCUGUGAAAUCCCGAGGCUCAACCUCGGGUCUGCAGUGGGUACGGGCAGACUAGAGUGUGGUAGGGGAGAUUGGAAGUCCUGGUGUAGCGGUGGAAUGCGCAGAUAUCAGGAGGAACACCGAUGGCGAAGGCAGAUCUCUGGGCCAUUACUGACGCUGAGGAGCGAAAGCAUGGGGAGCGAACA